AUUUAUGGAGAGUUUGAUCCUGGCUCAGAGUGAACGCUGGCGGCGUGCUUAACACAUGCAAGUCGAGCGAGAUUCUACAGCACACCGUAGAGUCUAGCGGCAGACGGGUGAGUAACACGUAGGAAACUUUCCCUGAAAUGGAGGAUACCCCCGAGAAAUCGGGGCUAAUACUGCAUAAGACCACAUUCCGGCAUCGGAAAGAGGUCAAAGGCCCGCAAGGGUCGUUUCGGGAUGGUCCUGCGUCCUAUCAGCUAGUUGGUGAGGUAACGGCUCACCAAGGCUAUGACGGGUAGCCGGCCUGAAAGGGCGAUCGGCCACACUGGAACUGAGACACGGUCCAGACUCCUACGGGAGGCAGCAGUGGGGAAUUUUGGACAAUGGGCG
Molecule: ribosomal RNA, 384 nt
Filed under: Elusimicrobia bacterium RIFOXYA2_FULL_47_53
Lineage: Bacteria; Pseudomonadati; Elusimicrobiota
Description: bacterial SSU rRNA
Rfam family: Bacterial small subunit ribosomal RNA
Source: RNAcentral